RNAcentral lists this long non-coding RNA (344 nucleotides) under Nicotiana benthamiana. Its description in RNAcentral is "long non-coding RNA (NBEN_LNC004349)". The record is from RNAcentral. Lineage: Eukaryota; Viridiplantae; Streptophyta; Magnoliopsida; Solanales; Solanaceae.
AACCAGAAUGUUCAGAAGCAGCUGGAGGCCCCCCUACAGCAAGCUGAGACCAGACAGAGCAAUGUAAUUCAGAGAGACCAGCAGGGUCCUCCUCCAAUGCCAACAGAAAUGAACAAACAGGGAGACAAAGGGAAACAUGCACAAUCUCUAGAGUUCAACCUUACAAAAUUUCCUCCUCUAUCUCCUAUUGUGGUGAGUAAUAGAUUUGAACUAAUGUCUAUUAGUAGGGCUGAGAAUCCUCCAGAUGAAGGGGACCUAGUAGUUAUCAAUGAAGUGGUUAAUAUGGAACAUUAGGGGUGUAAAUAAAAAGGUAUAAACAGAAGGAAGCUAGGGAAUAUAUUAGG